GUCUUUCAUAACCUUUGAGAUUUUCCACAGUUCUUUCCAAACCCUAUUCACUUUUACGCCUUCAUACGUUCCUGAUCCAUCCAUCAUUUAUUCAUGCCUAAUCAUCUUCGCAAGAUCUUAUAAUCUACUCCGUCGCCGUCCAAAAAGUUCAUGAUUCUCGAUUUUUAGUCAAGAUACCAUAGAGUGAUCAAAAUCUUGUGAUGGCUUCAAAGAGGAUAUCACGAGGAGUUUGUGGCAGCGUGGGGUCCGGGAAAUCGAGCUUUAUUUCUUGUAUUCUUCGUGAAAUCCUGAAAAUAUCCGGUGAAGUUCGAAUUUGAGUCAUGAUCUACAUCAAGAUUUAAGACCCCUGUUAAUCGUCUCUAUAAAUAUACGUACAGCUUCAACUCGUUCCAAACCAUUCACCAGCCUUACGCUCUCACCAUUGUUUUUAACCUCUGAAACCAACCUUCUUCUCGGCAACCUGCGACGACAUCACUACCAAGUUUGAAACGCACGCGAACCGUUGUACCAGGCUGAAGGUUUUUUUACAAUUAAUGCAGACAAUAACCAGGAAGAACAUCCGAGAAACCAGUUGAACAGUGGAGUGGUUCCAGAUAGUAUUGAUGUACACUGUUUGGCUGGUCUUAUCAAGGUGUAUGAUGAUUGUUGUAUUAAUAUUUCAUUUAGUUUUUUAAUUUUAUGAUUAAGUUGAUGAUAAUAUAGCCAUGGUUUAGAGAACGGCCAACUGCUAAGUGGGAUCUUGGAUUCGCUUUCACCUAGCAAGUAAUGCAGUGUCAACCAGAGGAUGGCCGCAUUGUCCUUUGCCGUCUUCAGUCGCCAAAGGAAACCGCCCUGCUCGAUUGGGCCAUCAAUCUGAUUGCUGAUGC
RNAcentral lists this long non-coding RNA (866 nucleotides) under Helianthus annuus (common sunflower). RNAcentral describes it as "sRNA HanXRQr2_Chr15g0676041". The record is from RNAcentral. Lineage: Eukaryota; Viridiplantae; Streptophyta; Magnoliopsida; Asterales; Asteraceae.